This 1467-nucleotide ribosomal RNA is filed under the name uncultured prokaryote. Its description in RNAcentral is "partial 16S ribosomal RNA". It matches the Rfam family "Bacterial small subunit ribosomal RNA". The record is from RNAcentral.
AUGAACGUUGGCGGCAUGGAUUAGGCAUGCAAGUCGAGCGAGAUAUUUUAGUUUGAAGCUUCGGUUGAUUACUAAAAUGGACAGCGGCGCAAGGGAGAGUAACGCGUAGUUAUCUGCCCCGGGGUCCGGAAUAGCUGCGGGAAACUGAGGGUAAUGCUGGAUAAUAUCUCCGGAUCAAAGGUGUGAUUCCGCCCGGGGAUGGUUCCGCGUCCUAUUAGCUUGUUGGUGAGGUAACGGCUCACCAAGGCUGCGAUGGGUAGCGGGCGUGAGAGCGUGGCCCGUCACACUGGGACUGAGACACUGCCCAGACACCUACGGGUGGCUGCAGUCGAGAAUCUUCGGCAAUGGGCGAAAGCCUGACCGAGCGACGCCGCGUGCGGGAUGAAGGCCCUCGGGUUGUAAACCGCUGUCGGAGGGGAGGAAAUGCAGGGGGGUUAUCCCCCUUGUUUGACCUAUCCUCGGAGGAAGUCCGGGCUAAGUUCGUGCCAGCAGCCGCGGUAAGACGAACCGGACAAACGUUAUUCGGAAUUAUUGGGCUUAAAGGGUGAGUAGGCGGUGCGGUAAGUUGGGUGUGAAACCCUCGGCUCAACCGAGGAAUUGCGCCCGAUACUGCUGUGCUAGAGGGAGACAGAGGCGAGCGGAACUGAUGGUGGAGCGGUGAAAUGCGUUGAUAUCAUCAGGAACACCAGUGGCGAAAGCGGCUUACUGGGUCUCUUCUGACGCUGAGGCACGAAAGCUAGGGCAGCGAACAGGAUUAGAUACCCUGGUAGUCCUAGCUGUAAACGAUGAGCACUUGACUGAGGACCCCCCCAUAGGUUCUCGGUCGAAGCGAAAGUGUUAAGUGCUCCGCCUGGGGAGUAUGGUCGCAAGGCUGAAACUCAAAGGAAUUGACGGGGGCUCACACAAGCGGUGGAGGAUGUGGCUUAAUUCGAGACUACGCGAAGAACCUUAUCCUGGUCUUGACAUGUUUAGGUUAGCUCUGUGAAAGCAGAGUGACGCCUUCGGGUGGAACUUUUACAGGUGCUGCAUGGCUGUCUUCAGCUCGUGUCGUGAGAUGUCGGGUUAAGUCCCUUAACGAGCGAAACCCUUAUCCUUAGUUGCCAGCGAGUAAUGUCGGGGACUCUAGGGAGACUGCCGGUGUGAAACCGGAGGAAGGUGGGGAUGACGUCAAGUCCUCAUGGCCUUUAUGACCAGGGCUGCACACGUCCUACAAUGGUGCAUACAAAGGGAAGCGAACUCGCGAGGGUAAGCAAACCCCAAAAAGUGUACCUCAGUUCGGAUUGCAGGCUGCAACUCGCCUGCAUGAAGUCGGAAUCGCUAGUAAUCGUGGGUCAGCAUACCACGGUGAAUAUGUUCCUGAGCCUUGUACACACCGCCCGUCAAGCCACGAAAGUGGGGGGGGGCUUAAAGUCGCCGAGCUAACCUUCGGGAUGCAGGCGCCUAGAGUCAACUCCGCGAUUGGGACUA